UACGUAGGGGGCAAGCGUUGUCCGGAUUUACUGGGCGUAAAGCGCGUGUAGGCGGUUGGGUAAGUCUGCUGUGAAAGCUCCUCGCUUAACGGGGAGAGGUCGGUGGAAACUGCUCAACUUGAGGACGGUAGAGGGGGGUGGAAUUCCCGGUGUAGUGGUGAAAUGCGUAGAUAUCGGGAGGAACACCAGUGGCGCAAGCGGCUGACUGGCCGAGACCUGACGCUGAAGCACGAAAGCUAGGGGAGCAAACGGG
Molecule: ribosomal RNA, 253 nt
Filed under: uncultured bacterium
Lineage: Bacteria
Description: partial 16S ribosomal RNA
Rfam family: Bacterial small subunit ribosomal RNA
Source: RNAcentral